This 732-nucleotide ribosomal RNA is filed under the name uncultured bacterium. RNAcentral's name for it is "bacterial SSU rRNA". It matches the Rfam family "Bacterial small subunit ribosomal RNA", at positions 8 to 730 of the family's 1533-position model. The record is from RNAcentral.
AGAGUUUGAUCCUGGCUCAGGACGAACGCUGGCGGCGGGCUUAACACAUGCAAGUCGAAGGAGAACCCCGACAACUUUGUUGUCGGGGGGAGACUGGCGCACGGGUGAGUAACGCGUAGAUAACCUGCCCAUAACUGGGGGAUAACCACUGGAAACGGUGGCUAAUACCGCAUAAUGUCCUGAUGCAGCAUUGCGUUGGGAUGAAAGGUUUCGAUUGGUUAUGGAUGGGUCUGCGUGCCAUUAGUUAGUUGGUAGGGUAACGGCCUACCAAGAUGAUGAUGGCUAGGGGGUCUGAGAGGAUGAUCCCCCACACUGGGACUGAGACACGGCCCAGACUCCUACGGGAGGCAGCAGUGAGGAAUCUUGCGCAAUGGAGGAAACUCUGACGCAGCCACGCCGCGUGCUGGAAGACGGUCCUAUGGAUUGUAAACAGCUUUUGCCGGGGAAGAACGUGCGGAUUUCGAUCUGCAGUGACGGUACCUGGUGAAUAAGCACCGGCUAACUCCGUGCCAGCAGCCGCGGUAAUACGGAUGGUGCGAGCGUUGUCCGGAAUCAUUGGGUGUAAAGGGUGCGUAGGCGGGUUGCUAAGUCUGGGGUGAAAUCCUGCCGCUUAACGGUAGAAUGGCCCCCGAUACUGGCAGUCUUGAGUACAGAAGAGGUCGGUGGAAUUCGUAGUGUAGCGGUGAAAUGCAUAGAUAUUACGAAGAACACCAGUGGCGAAAGCGGCCGGCU